AUUCUUUUAGAUUCGAAGCGGUUAGUGGCGGACUGGUGAGUAACACGUAAGGAACCUGCCUAUUAGAGGGGAAUAACAACGAGAAAUCGUUGCUAAUACCGCAUAAGCUGAUAGUAUCGCAUGAUACAGUCAGAAAAGGAGUAAUCCGCUAAUAGAUGGCCUUGCGUCCGAUUAGCUAGUUGGUGGGGUAACGGCCUACCAAGGCAACGAUCGGUAGCCGAGCUGAGAGGCUCAACGGCCACAUUGGGACUGAGAUACGGCCCAGACUCC
RNAcentral lists this ribosomal RNA (270 nucleotides) under uncultured Oscillospiraceae bacterium. Its description in RNAcentral is "partial 16S ribosomal RNA". It matches the Rfam family "Bacterial small subunit ribosomal RNA", at positions 74 to 339 of the family's 1533-position model. The record is from RNAcentral. Lineage: Bacteria; Bacillati; Bacillota; Clostridia; Eubacteriales; Oscillospiraceae.